Molecule: ribosomal RNA, 429 nt
Filed under: Acidobacteriota bacterium
Lineage: Bacteria; Pseudomonadati; Acidobacteriota
Description: Acidobacteria bacterium partial 16S ribosomal RNA
Rfam family: Bacterial small subunit ribosomal RNA
Source: RNAcentral
UGGGGAAUUUUGGACAAUGGGGGAAACCCUGAUCCAGCCAUCCCGCGUGUGCGAUGAAGGCCUUCGGGUUGUAAAGCACUUUUGGCAGGAAAGAAACGUCAUGGGUUAAUACCCCGUGAAACUGACGGUACCUGCAGAAUAAGCACCGGCUAACUACGUGCCAGCAGCCGCGGUAAUACGUAGGGUGCAAGCGUUAAUCGGAAUUACUGGGCGUAAAGCGUGCGCAGGCGGUUCGGAAAGAAAGAUGCGAAAUCCCAGAGCUCAACUUUGGAACUGCAUUUUUAACUACCGGGCUAGAGUGUGUCAGAGGGAGGUGGAAUUCCGCGUGUAGCAGUGAAAUGCGUAGAUAUGCGGAGGAACACCGAUGGCGAAGGCAGCCUCCUGGGAUAACACUGACGCUCAUGCACGAAAGCGUGGGGAGCAAACAGG